This 698-nucleotide long non-coding RNA is filed under the name Malus domestica (apple). Its description in RNAcentral is "long non-coding RNA (MDOM_LNC003042)". The record is from RNAcentral. Lineage: Eukaryota; Viridiplantae; Streptophyta; Magnoliopsida; Rosales; Rosaceae.
AUCUGAGUGAAAAUAGAGUGUAUGUCUUGUAAGGAAUUGAGGGAAUUCUCUAAGGCAUGUUACUACAUUCAAAGCAUUGUUUUAAUUGAUUACUUGUGAACUAGUAAGUGGUGGCUUUAAUUAAGUAUGUGCUUGUGUAAAGAUGACUCAUAUCUGUGGGGAUAGCAAUCUUUAACAUGUCAUGUGCAUUGGAAAUCCCUGAGGCAAACGUUGGAAGGUUUAGGUUUUGUUUUGGUUAAGUUGGUUUCGUUUUGUUUCCUUUCUUUUGUUUGUUUUGCUCGAGGACUAGCAAAAGCUAAGUGUGGGGGAAUUUGAUAGGAGCAUAUUUAUGCGCCUUAGUUAGCUAGUUCUGAUGCAUCUUUGUUAUGUUUUCUUCGUUAAAGUAGUCUUUUAAGCUACUUUCAUGUGUUUUCAGGUUUAAAGGACAUAUUACAUGAAAUGAUGCAAUUUGGAGCUUUUGGAGCAAAAAGUGAGCUUGGAAUGAAAAGAACAUGCUUGGAACACAAGGUUGGGAUGAAAUUGAAGAAUUGAAGAUUUGAGGUUUCCUACUUGAAGUAGGAAAGCUAAGCCUAAAAGUUUCCAUUUUGGGUUGAUCUUUCCUAAAUCGGAAUUGGCAACCAAAGUUUCUAAAAGUUGGAAGUUUCUAUUCUUGGAGGUUUCCAUUUUCGUGAGUUUCUAUUCUCGGCUUUGGGCUUUUG